RNAcentral lists this ribosomal RNA (459 nucleotides) under uncultured bacterium. RNAcentral describes it as "partial 16S ribosomal RNA". It matches the Rfam family "Bacterial small subunit ribosomal RNA", at positions 338 to 795 of the family's 1533-position model. The record is from RNAcentral.
CCUAGGGGUGCAGCAGUAAGGAAUAUUGCGCAAUGGAGGCAACUCUGACGCAGCCAUGCCGCGUGCAGGAAGAAGGCCUUAUGGGUCGUAAACUGCUUUUAUUUAGGAAUAAACCCCCGAACGUGUUCGGGGCUGAAGGUACUAAACGAAUAAGCACCGGCUAACUCCGUGCCAGCAGCCGCGGUAAUACGGAGGGUGCAAGCGUUAUCCGGAUUUAUUGGGUUUAAAGGGUGCGCAGGCGGGCUAUUAAGUCAGUGGUGAAAUCCCGGGGCUCAACUCCGGAACUGCCAUUGAUACUGAUAGUCUUGAGUUUGGUUGAAGUGGGCGGAAUGUAGCAUGUAGCGGUGAAAUGCAUAGAUAUGCUACAGAACACCAAUCGCGAAGGCAGCUCACUAAGCCAAAACUGACGCUCAUGCACGAAAGCGUGGGGAUCAAACAGGAUUAGAUACCCCCGUAGUC